RNAcentral lists this ribosomal RNA (216 nucleotides) under Glomeromycotina sp. Its description in RNAcentral is "partial small subunit ribosomal RNA". The stretch from base 92 to 216 matches the Rfam family "Eukaryotic small subunit ribosomal RNA", at positions 738 to 864 of the family's 1831-position model. Lineage: Eukaryota; Fungi; Glomeromycota. The record is from RNAcentral.
GACCUGGUACGGUGUUCCGCCUUCACGGUGUGUACUGCUGGACCGGGUUCUACCUCUUGGUGAGCCGGCAUGCCCUUCACUGGGUGUGUCGGGGAACCAGGACUUUUACCUUGAGAAAAUUAGAGUGUUCAAAGCAGACCUACGCCCGAAUACAUUAGCAUGGCAUAAUAAAAUAGGACGUGCGGUUCUAUUUUGUUGGUUUCUAGAGUCGCCGUA